Molecule: ribosomal RNA, 382 nt
Filed under: uncultured eukaryote
Lineage: Eukaryota
Description: partial 18S ribosomal RNA
Rfam family: Eukaryotic small subunit ribosomal RNA
Source: RNAcentral
CAAUAGCGUAUAUUAAAGUUGUUGCAGUUAAAAAGCUCGUAGUUGGAUUUCUGGUUGAAGCGACCGGUCGGGCGUUGAUUCGUCUGCACUGGAGUCGGUUUUGGCCAUCCUCUAGGAAAGUGCGUCUGGUAUUAAGUUAUCGGGCGUAUGAUCCUGGUCUUUUACUGUGAAGAAAUUAGAGUGUUUAAAGCAGGCCUUCGCCUUGAAUACAUUAGCAUGGAAUAAUAAGAUAGGACUUUGGUCUAUUUUGUUGGUUUGCAGACCGAAGUAAUGAUUAAUAGGGAUAGUUGGGGGUAUUUAUAUUCCGAUGUCAGAGGUGAAAUUCUUAGAUUUUCGGAAGAUAAACUUAUGCGAAAGCAUUUACCAAGGAUGUUUUCAUUAA